RNAcentral lists this ribosomal RNA (468 nucleotides) under uncultured bacterium. RNAcentral describes it as "partial 16S ribosomal RNA". It matches the Rfam family "Bacterial small subunit ribosomal RNA", at positions 28 to 507 of the family's 1533-position model. The record is from RNAcentral.
GACGAACGCUGGCGGCGUGCUUAACACAUGCAAGUCGAACGGAAAGGCCCUGCUUUUGUGGGGUGCUCGAGUGGCGAACGGGUGAGUAACACGUGAGUAACCUGCCCUUGACUUUGGGAUAACUUCAUGAAACUGGGGCUAAUACCGGAUAGGAGCUCCUGCUGCAUGGUGGGGGUUGGAAAGUUUCGGCGGUUGGGGAUGGACUCGCGGCUUAUCAGCUUGUUGGUGGGGUAGUGGCUUACCAAGGCUUUGACGGGUAGCCGGCCUGAGAGGGUGACCGGCCACAUUGGGACUGAGAUACGGCCCAGCCUCCUACGGGAGGCAGCAGUGGGGAAUAUUGCACAAUGGGCGGAAGCCUGAUGCAGCACAGCCGCGUGCGGGAUGACGGCCUUCGGGUUGUAAACCGCUUUCGCCUGUGACGAAGCGUGAGUGACGGUAAUGGGUAAAGAAGCACCGGCUAACUACGUG